Molecule: long non-coding RNA, 4374 nt
Organism: Salvelinus fontinalis (brook trout)
Lineage: Eukaryota; Metazoa; Chordata; Actinopteri; Salmoniformes; Salmonidae
Exons: 4
Source: RefSeq, a predicted model, not a curated record
GUCAUCGGACAAGAAUUGAGCCGUAAUAUAGCAUUUUCUGUAUUUCGACCCGUAUAACUCUAAACUCUUCUUUUAUUUUAACCAGUUACGCGUAUUGGUUCGCCUUGUAGACAAGUGAUAUUUAUUCACUCUGGCCAACCGUAUCUUGUAUGCUAACGUUAGCUUUCUGGUUCAAAGUGAACAUUGGGGCUUUUUAGCUAGCUACUCGCUGUUAUUAAUUAUGUAAAAAGACAAUCAAUAAUAUCAAUUGUUUAAGCACAUGGAAAUAUUUUUUUGUGAAUUAUUGCGUUAUUUAUUUCAUGAUUUAAAAGUGGCGGGUUAUGAGUGACGGACUGUGAAACUCAAUCUCCCAUGAUUCCGUAGUACCGGAACUGACCGUUUCAUCAUUUGUACCGGAACUGAUAGUGUUGUGUUCGUUCUUAUUACACCUCAGUGGUUGUGUUGAAUACUUCACCCAACUUAAAAUAAGAAAUUACUCUGCAUAUAAGACAUACCAUAUAAUAAACAGAAUUAACUAUUUUAAUUAGAUCUUUGAUGGUGUACUGUAGCUAGUUUAUUUAUGGCCUGUAUGUGUCCCAAAUAACUGAUUCCAUAGUUAUACUGGUGUCUGCACAUUUAAAACUGUAAACUAAGUCUCUUUUUGCUGCCUGUAUAUCAAUUGUGCAAAUGUGAAUAUACAAAUAUAGUUCAUAAAUAAUAAUACCAGGAUUGCUCACACCUAAAAUUUGAGUGAAUUAAAGCAGAUCAAUAACAAAAACAUUUUAGUGUUAACUGUGGAGGCUUUGCCUUUUGCUUUUGCACAAUAUAAUGCAAUCCCACAAUAAGAAAAUGCACAUUUCCCCACAAUAAUGAAACCUUUUCCUUGUUGACUUAUUGAACCAAUAAGGGUUAAAACAAAAAUGUGUUUAAGAAACCCUGCCCUAAAGAAACUCCAAGGGAGAUUCCAAGAGCGAGAUCUCCCUUGGGGUAUUUCUUAACAGACUUAUCAAGGCUAGGAUCGUUACACUAGUCCCUCGGUUCAGAAAACACAACCCGUGCUUCUCUAUAGCAAAUUCUUCAAGCUUUAACAGGACAUGCUUUUGACCCUCAUGCACUAUCCUACUCUGCGCAUCAGAUUAGCAAAUGGUAGGAGGGGCUAUUGACAUGAGGUAGGCGUAAAACCAGGUCGCUUGACCCUGAGGAAAUCACACUACACACAACAACCCCAAAAGAGUAAGGGCCUCAUCAAGGCUAGCGUCGUUCAACUUGUCAGGCAGCAGUUAGGACAUUUCUAACUACUACUAAAUGCUGUUGCAAAAUACUAACAAUUUUUUUGCUGGCUCACUGGCUUUUAUUUCAAUGUGGUAUUAAAUACAAAGCAGUGAUAUAAAAUGUUCAAAUGCUCAGACCGAUUGACUGUAACCUAAGCCUCUGUCUUGCAGGCAUGAACUCUUAGGUAUGUAUUAAAAAUAAAAAUAAAAUAUUAUAUUACUACCAAAAUAAGAGGAACCACAGCUAAUGUACAUUAAAACCACAUUGUGAUACACUUGUAAUUGAAUGACAUAUGUAUCUAAUAUAAUGACCUACAGUUCAUAUCAAAAUUUGAUGACAUAUAUCUGUCAUAGUGGAUUCGUAUCUCUUCACCCAUAAAACACCGUUAUACUAAUGCCUUUAAGUUACAUUAUAUAAAUAACACAAUUUUUAUUUAAUAGUUUUCAGUAUCAGUACCCAUCCUCCUGCAGUAUCCAUGCUCUUGCACCUAUCCCCACAAGAUACAGGUACAGUAUGCUAGAAUGCCAAACAUAUGCCAUGCCAAACUUUUAAAAAGUUCAUACAGCCAAGUUAUUCUUUUCAUCAAUUCUGUCAUUACAUUUUGGGCAGAGAGGCAGACCCUGUGCGCACAAACGUGAUGGGAAAAGAGAGAGACAAUGGUUGACAGCAUGCUCUCUGCUGAAGGUACUUUAUUGGGCCAGUGUCAGUUUGAAGGGUUUUAUUGCCCCUUGUCCCCAACCAACAUUAAUUCAUCAGGAUGAUGAGGGGUCCCUUACCUUCCAGGAGCAAGUUUGUCUUUUGCCCAUAGCUAUGCCACAGCAGUGUGUUUUCCCCCACUUCCCAGCGCCCUGACAGUGACAAGUUGCAAGCAGUCAUCCUGAUUGGAAUAAAUGAUAGGCGCUACAAACUGUCCCUUCCUGAUAUGAACUGCUCCGGGUGUCUGAGACGUUGGAGAGUGGGGCUGGACGAACUUGUAAAGAGUGGCUACUUGCCAGCCACCGUGACUCACCAGACCAUCUUCACAGUAGACCUCUUCAAGUCCUUUGAAGGUGUUGGUCCCACAUGCCUUUGUGGGAAUGCUUGACGGAAGAACAAAGCACUUUGGCAGGAGUGGAAAGAUAUGUGGCGGCACAUUCCAGAAGGCAUUCCUCGAGUGGACGUAGGGCGUUUGGAAAUAACCAAGCUUUGUGGAAGCGACCUCCUCCAUUGUCCUGCCUGCUCACAGGAGAUGCAUGCUAUAUCAGUGGGUGGGAAUUGUAAGCAAUACCGCUUCCAGAACACCUCAGGGUUUGUACUACCUACUUAUGUGUUGAUGUUUUGUUCAGGGUAUAAUUAUGCCUUCUUAAAGUGCAUGCUGGUCGUCUUUUUAGUAUGAAGUAUAUGUUUGGGAUGUUAUAUUGCAGUUGGUCUUCUUUUUAGAAGAAGAUUAAUUGUCAAGUAGAAGGUCAUUUUCCAUGAAGAAAAAUUGUGGAACGGUGACGUUUUGUUCUUUAUCCCAACUCCUCACACACGCACGCACACACACACACACACACACACACACACACACACACACACACACACACACACACACACACACACACACACACACACGCACACACACACACACACACACACACACACACACACACACACAGAGGUUGGAGCAACACUGUCGGAUGUCUGGGAUUUGAACCAGCAACCCCUCUCUAACUUCUAGGCUACCUGCCACCCCUUGGUGGUUUGGUUUGAUGUAUAAUUUUGUGAUGUAAUCUUGCAGCCUGACUCUAUUUGGUGCUGAGAAGGACUUCUACGACGGUGUCUUCCUGGCGAAAGACAUGUCCAUAAAAAGACCACGCAUGUCAUUUUUCUAUUACACAGUUUCUAUAAUAUAGCUUUCAUGUCACCCAGUUUAGAACUUGUUUAUUUUAAGUUAAUCUCUGCACUACACUGUGAUUUCUUAUGUUGUAGAUGCCAGUCAAAGGAGUGUGUGGCACAUCAGAGUGGACAGCGGCCAAAGAGACGUCAGGAAAAUCAUCUGCCAAAGUAGAUGAGGAGGGCCUUGAGAUAGUAGUUUGCCGACACAGCGUUUUCCUCAAGGCCCCCAACAUGUACAGAGGCGAGGUAUAUGCCUACUUAGUGUACUUGCAGAAGGAGUUGUGUUCUGUUGGCACGGUGGGCUUCUUCUGCUGCAAUGUUACAUGCAAAUACUGGCCAUAUUUGCAGAACAUUGUUCAGGCAUGCCCAGACAAUGCACUCUCUCCUCUGCUUUAUGCAUGCGAAGGCGCAUGAAUGGUCUUGUGAGGUAAUUGUUUUCUUUCAGGACUGUUUUUGUGUUAUGCAGAAAGGAUAUUGUAAUGCCUUUUUAAAUAGAAUGAAUACAUUAUUUAAAACAUUUAUUUGUUCAUUAAGGCAUUAUAGCUCAAAUGGGGAGGCCGUAAUUAGUCUCUGGCAACACAUCCAGAGAGGAAGUCGAGCAGGACAUCAACGACGCUGUGCUUCAUGAGUGGGUUGCUGAGGUGCAGCAGUGGAUGUUUCUCUCUCUCAAUUUCAAAAUGUGUCACAUCUGCUCCUGCAACGCCCUCUACUGCUCAUCCUGUGUCUCCUUGACCUACCGCCACUCCCCCAGUACUCUCUCCCUCUCCCCCGCUCUCUCUCUCUCUCUGUGUGUGUGUGAUUGUGUGGGCGGAGACAGGUGUGCUGCAGUCAGAGCAGAUCCCCACCAGCUGCCACCUGUUCCAUAAUCAAGACCUCUACAAAUACUCAGCCCUGCUACUUCCACGCUGCCAGAUCGUAAUCUCUGCUCAGUCAGUCUACGGUUCUAGCCGUUUGUUACUAUUCAGAUCCUGUUAUCCUUGACUGACACUGUUUUCUUCUCCGCUACAGUUCUGCUCGCUCUUACUCUGGUCCCUGUCUCCAGUCCCACGUCUCGUUAUUCUGUCCUGGAUACCCCACUCUACUACUCCUUUGGAUUCCCCUCCGGACCUGCUUACCCUGUCUCAACCCCUCUCGCUCCAGCCUCAGCCUCCGCACCUGGUUUCCAGCAACCCGCCCGAGCUUCCCCUGACCUGCACUCCAUCUUCCCCCUGUGUUUCAAUAAAUACAUUGGUUACUUCAUCCCAGUCUCCUCGUCUGAGUCUGCUG